CGAACGCUGGCGGCGUGCUUAACACAUGCAAGUCGAACGAUGAAGCCGGAGCUUGCUCCGGUGGAUUAGUGGCGAACGGGUGAGUAACACGUGAGCAAUCUGCCCUUGACUCUGGGAUAACUGCGGGAAACUGUAGCUAAUACCGGAUACGACACCUUGGGGCAUCCCAGGGUGUGGAAAGAAUUUCGGUGGAGGAUGACUUCGCGGCCUAUCAGCUAGUUGGUGAGGUAAUGGCUCACCAAGGCAACGACGGGUAGCCGGCCUGAGAGGGCGACCGGCCACACUGGGACUGAGACACGGCCCAGACUCCUACGGGAGGCAGCAGUGGGGAAUAUUGGGCAAUGGAGGAAACUCUGACCCAGCGACGCCGCGUGCGGGAUGAAGGCCUUCGGGUUGUAAACCGCUUUCAGUAGGGAAGAAGCGAAAGUGACGGUACCUACAAAA
This 444-nucleotide ribosomal RNA is filed under the name uncultured Microbacteriaceae bacterium. RNAcentral's name for it is "bacterial SSU rRNA". It matches the Rfam family "Bacterial small subunit ribosomal RNA", at positions 30 to 486 of the family's 1533-position model. The record is from RNAcentral. Lineage: Bacteria; Bacillati; Actinomycetota; Actinomycetes; Micrococcales; Microbacteriaceae.